GACGAACGCUGGCGGCGUGCUUAACACAUGCAAGUCGAACGGGAGUAUUGAAGAAGCUUGCUUUAGAGAUGCUUUAGUGGCGGACGGGUGAGUAACGCGUGAGGAGCUGUCCUAUGCAGGGGGACAACAGCUGGAAACGGCUGCUAAUACCCCAUAAGCCGAGAGGUAAAAGGAUCAAUCCGGCAGAGGAGGUACUCGCGUCCUAUCAGCUAGUAGGUGAGGUAACGGCUCACCUAGGCGAAGACGGGUAGCCGGCCUGAGAGGGCGAACGGCCACACUGGAACUGAGAUACGGUCCAGACUCCUACGGGAGGCAGCAGUGGGGAAUUUUGGACAAUGGGCGCAAGCCUGAUCCAGCCAUUCCGCGUGCAGGAUGAAGGCCUUCGGGUUGUAAACUGCUUUGUACGGUAACGAAAAGGUCCUGGUUAAUACCUGGGCGUCAUGACGGUACCGUAAGAAUAAGCACCGGCUAACUACGUGUCCAGCAGCCGCGGUAA
This 496-nucleotide ribosomal RNA is filed under the name uncultured bacterium. Its description in RNAcentral is "bacterial SSU rRNA". It matches the Rfam family "Bacterial small subunit ribosomal RNA", at positions 28 to 523 of the family's 1533-position model. The record is from RNAcentral.